GAUGAACGCUAGCGAUAGGCUUAACACAUGCAAGUCGAGGGGCAGCACAAGGUAGCUUGCUCUCUGGGUGGCGACCGGCGCACGGGUGCGUAACGCGUAUGCAACUUGCCCUAUACAGGAGGAUAACCCGUCGAAAGACGGACUAAUACUGCGUAUGCUCACAACUUGGCAUCAAGUGGUGAGGAAAGAAAUUCGGUAUAGGAUAGGCAUGCGUCCCAUUAGCUUGUUGGUGAGGUAACGGCUCACCAAGGCAACGAUGGGUAGGGGAACUGAGAGGUUUAUCCCCCACACUGGUACUGAGACACGGACCAGACUCCUACGGGAGGCAGCAGUGAGGAAUAUUGGUCAAUGGGCGCGAGCCUGAACCAGCCAAGUCGCGUGAAGGAGGACUGUCCUAUGGAUUGUAAACUUCUUUUAUACGGGAAUAACAAGAGUCACGUGUGACUCCCUGCAUGUACCGUAUGAAUAAGCAUCGGCUAACUCCGUG
Molecule: ribosomal RNA, 487 nt
Filed under: uncultured bacterium
Lineage: Bacteria
Description: partial 16S ribosomal RNA
Rfam family: Bacterial small subunit ribosomal RNA
Source: RNAcentral